Molecule: unclassified non-coding RNA, 227 nt
Filed under: plant metagenome
Description: partial contains small subunit ribosomal RNA, internal transcribed spacer 1, and 5.8S ribosomal RNA
Source: RNAcentral
UUUCCGUAGGUGAACCUGCGGAAGGAUCAUUAAAGAAUUUGCCCCGUCCUUUCGGGGAUGGGUCCUCUUCUAAACCGUGUAUACAUACCUUUGUUGCUUUGGCGGGCCGCCGUCUCGGCGUUGGCUUCGGCUGACUGUGCCCGCCAGAGAACCCCAACUCUUCUGUUUAGUAUUGUCUGAGUACUAUAUAAUAGUUAAAACUUUCAACAACGGAUCUCUUGGUUCUG